CAAAUUAAGUGGGAGCAAUAGAAGUUGGGGUACCCGUUCUGCCAUGACUUUCUCUUAUUGGUGUUUAAUGUGUAAUAGUGUUUAUAUUUUCUUAAAACGUUUAAGAUCUUGUUGACCGUUAAAGGCAAGGUAUUAAGAGUAGUCAUACAAUUUACCGAUUAGUAGUUUUGUCGUAUAGAAACCGCUCAUUCAUUUUGAUAUCAUAACCAAUAAUAACGAUUAUUACAAUAAUAAUCGCCGAAUAUUAUAUCUACAUUGUAUAAAGA
RNAcentral lists this long non-coding RNA (266 nucleotides) under Mytilus galloprovincialis (Mediterranean mussel). Lineage: Eukaryota; Metazoa; Mollusca; Bivalvia; Mytilida; Mytilidae. The record is from RNAcentral.